AGAAUCAACGCUGGCGGCGUGCCCCAGACAUGCAAGUCGAACGAUUAAACUCCCCUUCGGGGGAGAUAUAAAGUGGCGCACGGGUGAGUAACACGUAGGUAAUUUGCCUUCGGGUGGGGAAUAACAGUCGGAAACGACUGCUAAUACCGCAUAAUGCAGCGGCACCUAAUGGUGACAGUUGUUAAAGCGGGGGAUCGCAAGACCUCGCGCCUGAAGAGGAGCCCGCGGCGGAUUAGCUAGUUGGUAGGGUAACGGCCUACCAAGGCUUCGAUCCGUA
Molecule: ribosomal RNA, 277 nt
Filed under: uncultured bacterium
Lineage: Bacteria
Description: partial small subunit ribosomal RNA
Rfam family: Bacterial small subunit ribosomal RNA
Source: RNAcentral